RNAcentral lists this ribosomal RNA (440 nucleotides) under uncultured bacterium. RNAcentral's name for it is "partial 16S ribosomal RNA". It matches the Rfam family "Bacterial small subunit ribosomal RNA", at positions 338 to 795 of the family's 1533-position model. The record is from RNAcentral.
CCUACGGGUGGCAGCAGUGGGGGAGAGUGCACAAUGGGGGAAACCCUGAUGCAGCGAAGCCGCGUGAGUGAAGAAGGAUUUCGGGAGGUAAAGCUCUAGCAGCAGGGAAGAAAAUGACAGUACCUGACCAAGAAGCCCCGGCUAACGACGUGCCAGCAGCCGCGGUAAUACGUAGGGGGCAAGCGUUAUCCGGAUUUACUGGGUGUAAAGGGAGCGUAGACGGGUAUGGAAGUCUGGAGUGAAAGCCCGGGGCCCCACCCCGGGACUGCUUGGGAAACUGUGGAACUGGAGUACAGGAGGGUCAGGCGGCCUUCCUGGUGUAGCGGUGACCUGCUUAGCUAUCAGGAGGAACCCCGGCGGCGCAGGCGGCCUGCUGGACUGCAACUGACGUUGCGGCUCGACAGCGUGGGGAGCACACAGGAUUAGAUCCCCUUGUAGUC